GGAAGUAAAAGUCGUAACAAGGUUUCCGUAGGUGAACCUGCGGAAGGAUCAUUGAAUCUAUCAAUACCAACACUGUGAACCAAUUUGUCUGGCCUCCCGCUCACCCGGGGCGUUCUGGCCGCAUUCACUUGCGACCACGAGCGGGCUCGGGAGCUUCGGCUCCUGGGUCGGUCUAUACUAACAUUAACACCAAACAAAACCAAUCUAAAGUGAAAAUGCAGUCGGCCUGGCCGCUGUAUCUAACCAAAGACAACUCUGUACAACGGAUAUCUUGGCUCUCGUAACGAUGAAGAACGCAGCGAAAUGCGAUACGUAGUGUGAAUUGCAGAAUUCCGUGAACCAUCAAAUCUUUGAACGCAUAUUGCGCUCAAGGCUUCGGCCGAGAGCAUGCCUGCCUCAGCGUCGGGUUAAUAUCACUCCAAACAACCCAUGUGGUUUAGUCCGAGUGGAACUGGCUGUCCCAAUGCGCCGCAACUCAUACUUGCGACCAAGCGCGAUGGGUCGGCUGAAGUGCAGAGGUUAACGCAAGGACCCUUAUGGGCCGCAACUGGGUAGGCAGCUCACGCUUGCUAUUUCUAGUUGUUGGCUUGGACCAUGCGUUCGACCCUCAAGCAGGAAUUAACCUUAUUUUCUCGACCUGAGCUCAGACAAGAACACCCGCUGAACUUAAGCAUAUCAAUAAGCGGAGGA
RNAcentral lists this ribosomal RNA (690 nucleotides) under uncultured fungus. Its description in RNAcentral is "eukaryotic LSU rRNA". The stretch from base 252 to 405 matches the Rfam family "5.8S ribosomal RNA". The record is from RNAcentral. Lineage: Eukaryota; Fungi.